This is a non-coding RNA of Ciona intestinalis (vase tunicate), 1842 nucleotides long. Lineage: Eukaryota; Metazoa; Chordata; Ascidiacea; Phlebobranchia; Cionidae. The record is from RefSeq and is a predicted model, not a curated record.
UUUGAAUUUUGAAAUUAUUUUUAUAACUUUUAAUAGAUGGCAGUAGUGUGGUUAGGUGGUUUAUAAUUGGAUAGAUUAUUCUUUUUUGUAAUCCUUACUGAUGAAAUGUAAAACUGAUGGAAAAUAUGAAUCCAGGUAGUUUAUCUUUGCAUUCUUUGAACAUUGUGUCCAGGGUGGCUUUCAAUAAGUUUAGAAAAAAUGGAGAUUACACCAAUGUUGUCAUUACUGUUGGCAGCCAUGAUUGGAAAUGUCAUCAAUGUAUUUUAGCUGCUUCAUGUACUUCCCUUCACCUCUUGUUUCAAGCUGCGCAAUCACUAGAUAGAGUUAUUCCUACUGUCAUUAUGCCCGACCACUUCAAUGAGCAAGACAUUGAUUUAUGGCUGGAUGUUUUAUAUUUGAACACGCUGCCAAAUAACUUAGAUAGUGUAAAGAGAGUAUAUACACUUGCUGCUUAUUUAAAGAUGCCAACUUUAGAAUGUAUAUGUUCAAGUCACUUGGAGAAACAAAUGAAAAAAGAGGAAUGGAUUGAAUGGCAUUCAUCUACACUUAAAACUAUUAAGUCCUUGUGUAACUUACAAGUCAGGCAUGCAGGAUUGAACAAAGGAACACAUCAUAUCAAUAUAUUACCUCCUAAUGACAAGUUGGAUAGCAUUACCCACCAACCCAAAACAGGUGAAUUGCAAAAUGGCCAGGACAAUGAAUUUGAAUUAGAACCAUCAAUACCUCAAACUUCAGCUACAAAUGAACGCAUAAAACCAAGCUUACUAAGUUGCAGUCACUGUGGAAAAUUAUUUAAACGUAAAUAUGACUUGGUUGUUCAUGACCGACGCAUGCAUUCAAACAAACCAUUCCGAUGCCCUGUGUGUCCCAAGGAAUACGCUCUUAACAGAGAGUUACAAAUUCACUUACGAAUACACAAACCAGGGUUUCGACACCAGUGCAAACAUUGUAGUAUGAAAUUUAUCUCUACAGAAGGACGUAGGAAACAUAUACUGCAAGAACAUAAAACGUAUGCGUGCAAAAACAUAGGCUGCAAAUCUGCCUUUGUAAGCCAGGAGCUUCUAGAUCAACAUCCCUGCAUGAAAACCAAGGAGAAGAAACAUCAGUGUGAAGUUUGUGGCGUUACAUUUCGCUUGGCGGAAUAUAUGAGGCGUCACGUCAGCGCAGUGCACGUGAAGGAAAAACCAUUCAAGUGUACAGAAUGUGAGCGCCACUUCAACAGGCCUGAACAAUUAAAACUACACCAAAUCACGCACAGCAAGGAGAGGCGAUACAAAUGUGAUUUAUGUGGAAAGACUUUUCGACAACCAGCUGGCCUUUGGAAACACAAACGAAAACACAACGGAGGAUAUUUUGUAUGCGAGAUAUGUGGAUACAGCUGCAGGUCUAACAGCGUGUUGUCAAUGCAUCUAAAAUCCCAUGUUUCCGAUACACACAAUACUUGCCAGCAGUGCAAGAAGACAUUCAAGUCUUCGCAUGCACAGAACAUGAAGAGUUUAAACAGACAUAUGAAGCAGCAUUCGAAGAACACUUGACAAAUUGUAGCUCAGGCAUUACAAAAUAUACUCACUCAACGAACGCUACAAUAUAUACUUCAAGAAACAUACUGCCGAAGAAACAGUCACGAUUAAGAAAAAAUGGUCAGUUCAAAAUGAAAUCAAAAGCAACUAAAAAAGGCAUUGCACUGCCCGCAACUACAUACCAGUUAUACUGUAUUUGUAAUUUUUAAACAAAAUCUAAAGCAACUUUAAAAAGGCAUUGCACUGCCCGCAACUACAACCCAAUCAUACUGUAUUUGUGUUUGAAUAAAAACACCAAUAAAAGUGUUCACAGUGUCAAGUA